UACGUAGGUGGCAAGCGUUAUCCGGAAUUAUUGGGCGUAAAGCGCGCGCAGGUGGUUUCUUAAGUCUGAUGUGAAAGCCCACGGCUCAACCGUGGAGGGUCAUUGGAAACUGGGGAGACUUGAGUGCAGAAGAGGAAAGUGGAAUUCCAUGUGUAGCGGUGAAAUGCGUAGAGAUAUGGAGGAACACCAGUGGCGAAGGCGACGUUUCUGGUCUGUAACUGACACUGAGGCGCGAAAGCGUGGGGAGCAAACAGG
This 255-nucleotide ribosomal RNA is filed under the name uncultured bacterium. RNAcentral's name for it is "partial 16S ribosomal RNA". It matches the Rfam family "Bacterial small subunit ribosomal RNA", at positions 524 to 776 of the family's 1533-position model. The record is from RNAcentral.